This 1404-nucleotide ribosomal RNA is filed under the name uncultured bacterium. RNAcentral describes it as "bacterial SSU rRNA". It matches the Rfam family "Bacterial small subunit ribosomal RNA". The record is from RNAcentral.
UUUGAUCAUGGCUCAGAACGAACGCUGGCGGAAUGCUUAACACAUGCAAGUCGAACGAGUACGUUUUACUAGUGGCGGACGGGUGAGUAACGCGUGGGAACCUACCUUGAGGUAAGGAACAACUACAGGAAACUGUAGCUAAUACUUUAUAAGCCCUACGGGGGAAAGAUUUAUCGCCUUAAGAGGGGCCUGCGUCAGAUUAGCUUGUUGGUAAGGUAAUGGCUUACCAAGGCAAUGAUCUGUAGCUGGUUUGAGAGGACGAUCAGCCACAUUGGGACUGAGACACGGCCCAGACUCCUACGGGAGGCAGCAGUGGGGAAUCUUGGACAAUGGGGGAAACCCUGAUCCAGCAAUUCCGCGUGAAUGAUGAAGGCCUUAGGGUUGUAAAGUUCUUUUAGUAAGGAAGAUGAUGACGGUACUUACAGAAAAAGCUCCGGCUAACUCCGUGCCAGCAGCCGCGGUAAUACGGGGGGGGCAAGCGUUGUUCGGAAUUACUGGGCGUAAAGAGCGAGCAGGUGGUUCAUUAAGUCAAUUGUGAAAGCUCAAGGCUUAACCUUGAAAUUGCUUUUGAUACUGAUGGACUAGAGUUUGGGAGAGGAUAGUGGAAUUCUAAGUGUAGAAGUUGAAAUUCGUAGAUAUUUAGAGGAACACCGACAGCGAAGGCAACUAUCUGGCCCUUUACUGACACUCAGAAGCGAAAGCUUGGGUAGCAAACAGGAUUAGAUACCCUGGUAGUCCAUGCUGUAAACGAUGAGUGCUAGAUGUUAGAAGUUUACUUCUAGUAUCGAAGCUAACGCGUUAAGCACUCCGCCUGGGGAGUACGGCCGCAAGGCUAAAACUCAAAUGAAUUGACGGGGACCCGCACAAGCAGUGGAGCAUGUGGUUUAAUUCGACGCUACGCGAAGAACCUUACCAGCUCUUGACAUGCUAAGUUUUAAAUUUAAGAGAUUAAAUUUUUCAGUUCGGCUGGGCUUAGUACAGGUGCUGCAUGGCUGUCGUCAGCUCGUGUCGUGAGAUGUUCGGUUAAGUCCGGCAACGAGCGCAACCCUCAUCUUCAGUUACUAACAGGUUAUGCUGAGGACUCUGGAGAAACUGCCGUUGGAAAAGCGGAGGAAGGCGAGGAUGACGUCAAGUCCUCAUGGCCCUUAUGGGCUGGGCUACACACGUGCUACAAUGGUAAUUACAAUAGGUCGCGAAAAGGCAACUUUGAGCUAAUCUUCAAAAAUUAUCUUAGUUCGGAUUGUUCUCUGCAACUCGAGAGCAUGAAGUUGGAAUUGCUAGUAAUCGUGGAUCAGCAUGCCACGGUGAAUACGUUCCCGGGUCUUGUACACACCGCCCGUCACACCAUGGGAGUUGGUUUUACCUGAAGCCGAUUUUUAAUCGUCCACGGUAAGGUCAGCGACU